RNAcentral lists this ribosomal RNA (273 nucleotides) under uncultured bacterium. RNAcentral describes it as "partial 16S ribosomal RNA". It matches the Rfam family "Bacterial small subunit ribosomal RNA", at positions 524 to 796 of the family's 1533-position model. The record is from RNAcentral.
GACAGAGGGUGCGAACGUUGUUCGGAAUUACUGGGCGUAAAGCGCGUGUAGGCUGCUUUGCAAGUCGGAUGUGAAAGCCCUGGGCUCAACCUAGGAAGUGCACUCGAAACUGCAGAGCUUGAGGUCUGGAGAGGAAGGCGGAAUUCUCGGUGUAGAGGUGAAAUUCGUAGAUAUCGAGAGGAACACCGGUGGCGAAGGCGGCCUUCUGGACAGCACCUGACGCUGAGACGCGAAAGCGUGGGGAGCAAACAGGAUUAGAAACCCCGGUAGUCC